RNAcentral lists this transfer RNA (90 nucleotides) under Puccinia graminis f. sp. tritici. It matches the Rfam family "tRNA". Rfam says of the family: Transfer RNA (tRNA) molecules are approximately 80 nucleotides in length. Their secondary structure includes four short double-helical elements and three loops (D, anti-codon, and T loops). RNAcentral also lists the same sequence under 1 other name. Lineage: Eukaryota; Fungi; Basidiomycota; Pucciniomycetes; Pucciniales; Pucciniaceae. The record is from Rfam by way of RNAcentral.
CCCCCGAUAGCUCAGUUGGAAGAGCGCGAGACUGUAAUGGAUAAAAUCAAGUCGAUCUUGAGGUCGCUGGUUCGAUCCCGGCUCGGGGGA